This 253-nucleotide ribosomal RNA is filed under the name uncultured bacterium. RNAcentral's name for it is "partial 16S ribosomal RNA". It matches the Rfam family "Bacterial small subunit ribosomal RNA", at positions 524 to 776 of the family's 1533-position model. The record is from RNAcentral.
UACGUAGGGGGCAAGCGUUGUCCGGAUUUACUGGGCGUAAAGAGCGUGUAGGCGGCCACGCAGGUCCGUUGUGAAAACUGGAGGCUCAACCUCCAGCUGUCGACGGAAACCGUGUGGCUAGAGUCCGGAAGAGGAGAGUGGAAUUCCUGGUGUAGCGGUGAAAUGCGCAGAUAUCAGGAAGAACACCUAUGGCGAAGGCAGCUCUCUGGGACGGUACUGACGCUGAGGGACGAAAGCGUGGGGAGCAAACAGG